This 429-nucleotide ribosomal RNA is filed under the name Actinomycetes bacterium. RNAcentral describes it as "Actinobacteria bacterium partial 16S ribosomal RNA". It matches the Rfam family "Bacterial small subunit ribosomal RNA", at positions 355 to 776 of the family's 1533-position model. Lineage: Bacteria; Bacillati; Actinomycetota; Actinomycetes. The record is from RNAcentral.
UAGGGAAUCUUCCGCAAUGGGCGAAAGCCUGACGGAGCAACGCCGCGUGAGUGAUGAAGGUCUUCGGAGCGUAAAACUCUGUUAUUAGGGAAGAACAAAUGUGUAAGUAACUAUGCACGUCUUGACGGUACCUAAUCAGAAAGCCACGGCUAACUACGUGCCAGCAGCCGCGGUAAUACGUAGGUGGCAAGCGUUAUCCGGAAUUAUUGGGCGUAAAGCGCGCGUAGGCGGUUUUUUAAGUCUGAUGUGAAAGCCCACGGCUCAACCGUGGAGGGUCAUUGGAAACUGGAAAACUUGAGUGCAGAAGAGGAAAGUGGAAUUCCAUGUGUAGCGGUGAAAUGCGCAGCGAUAUGGAGGAACACCAGUGGCGAAGGCGACUUUCUGGUCUGUAACUGACGCUGAUGUGCGAAAGCGUGGGGAUCAAACAGG